Molecule: ribosomal RNA, 683 nt
Filed under: uncultured bacterium
Lineage: Bacteria
Description: bacterial SSU rRNA
Rfam family: Bacterial small subunit ribosomal RNA
Source: RNAcentral
AGGGUUUGAUCAUGGCUCAGGACGAACGCUGGCGGCACGCCUAACACAUGCAAGUCGAGCGCGAAAGCCGCUUCGGCGGCGAGUAGAGCGGCGCACGGGUGAGUAACGCGUGGCCAACCUGCCCUCGGGACCGGGACAACCCUUCGAAAGGGGGGCUAAUACCGGAUGAGACCCAGAUCGUGGGAUCGGGGUUGAAAGCUCCGGCGCCCGGGGAGGGGGCCGCGUCCCAUCAGCUAGCCGGUGAGGUAAUGGCUCACCGGGGCAACGACGGGUAGCGGGUCUGAGAGGACGGUCCGCCACACUGGCACUGAGACACGGGCCAGACUCCUGCGGGAGGCAGCAGUGGGGAAUCUUGCGCAAUGGGCGCAAGCCUGACGCAGCGAUGCCGCGUGGGUGAAGAAGGCCUUCGGGUCGUAAAGCCCUUUUGGUGGGGAGGAUGAUGACGUCACCCACCGAAUAAGCGCCGGCUAACUACGUGCCAGCAGCCGCGGUAAUACGUAGGGCGCGAGCGUUGUCCGGAAUCACUGGGCGUAAAGGGCGCGCAGGUGGGUUCGCAAGCGGGGGGUGAAAGGCCGGGGCUCAACCCCGGGACUGCUUCCCGAACUGCGGAUCUAGAGGGGGUCAGGGGCCAGCGGAAUUCCGGGUGGAGAGGUGAAAUUCGUAGAGAUCCGGAGGAACGCCGG